This 831-nucleotide ribosomal RNA is filed under the name uncultured bacterium. RNAcentral's name for it is "bacterial SSU rRNA". It matches the Rfam family "Bacterial small subunit ribosomal RNA", at positions 84 to 917 of the family's 1533-position model. The record is from RNAcentral.
CCCGAUGGCGACCGGCGCACGGGUGAGUAACGCGUAUCCAACCUGCCCUUCACCACGGGAUAACCCGGCGAAAGUCGGACUAAUACCGUAUGUUGUCCAUUGACGGCAUCCGAUUUGGACGAAAGGCUUGGCGGUGAGGGAUGGGGAUGCGUCCGAUUAGCCAGACGGCGGGGUAACGGCCCACCGUGGCGACGAUCGGUAGGGGUUCUGAGAGGAAGGUCCCACACACUGGAACUGAGACACGGUCCAGACUCCUACGGGAGGCAGCAGUGAGGAAUAUUGGUCAAUGGGCGUAAGCCUGAACCAGCCAAGUAGCGUGCAGGACGACGGCCCUAUGGGUUGUAAACUGCUUUUAUGCGGGGAUAAAGUGGCCCACGUGUGGGUUUUUGCAGGUACCGCAUGAAUAAGGACCGGCUAAUUCCGUGCCAGCAGCCGCGGUAAUACGGAAGGUCCGGGCGUUAUCCGGAUUUAUUGGGUUUAAAGGGAGCGUAGGCCGCGCCUUAAGCGUGUUGUGAAAUCCGGGUGCUCAACAUCCGGCUUGCAGCGCGAACUGGGGCGCUUGAGUGCGCAGAAAGUAGGCGGAAUUCGUGGUGUAGCGGUGAAAUGCUUAGAUAUCACGAGGAACUCCGAUUGCGAAGGCAGCCUACUGUAGCGCUACUGACGCUGAUGCUCGAAAGCGUGGGUAUCGAACAGGAUUAGAUACCCUGGUAGUCCACGCGGUAAACGAUGGAUGCUCGUUGUCGGCCCUUUGGGUCGGUGACCAAGCGAAAGCGUUAAGCAUCCCACCUGGGGAGUACGCCGGCAACGGUGAAACUCAAAGGAAUUGACGGC